AUGGCAAAAAACACCCCCAGCCCUCCGCCGAGGGCAAGAUCUCGCCGGGGCGCGGCGCCGACGUCGCCAACCCCAGCCGCCGCUCUGAGCCCUCCUUUCUCCCUUGCCCCACUGCGCACCCGCCUUGGCGCUGCUGCUGCUGCUGCGGCGGCGGCGGCCGCCGCCGCCGCCGCCGCCUCCUCAUCCCCCGNNNNNNNNNNNNNNGUCACGCUGUGGGAAUGGUGGCCGGUGAGGGUGGAAGGGGAGGAGCGGAAACUCGCGGUUUCCGGCUUCACUGAAAGGAAUGACGCAUUCACUUCUGCACCCAUAGCACAUCGUUAUGAGCCUCUCACGCUCCAGGAUGAAGGUGGGGUUGUGGUGCUCCUUCAUGGUUCAAUUAGCUUGUUGCGAAUGCGUCAAAAUGGAUUUUCUGUGCAGAUAUGCGAACAAUUCAUGAUUGGAUUUCCGUCCUGGUGGGAGACUUGGGAUUCGCACAUGGAGUCUUACCCAAACUGUUUUAUUGAUCCACGAGAGGGUUCAGCUCAGUUUUACCUGGAGAAAUUCCAGCUAGGCAAUUUUAUUCAAAAGUUUGGACCCUCGUUCAUCGAGGACCUUCUUAAUAAUGCUAAAAAUUUCCCAAUCGACCAUCUCGAUGCAUUCACAGAGAGUUCAAGAUUCCAGGAACACAACUGUGGAAAUGAUGCUUCAACCAACGAAAAUUCUGCUGCUUCAGAUGAUGCCAGACCCGCAACUGUAGCUAAUGUGGAAAUAGGCUUGACUACGAGCAGCACUUCACAAGAAAGAGAUCAUGUGGACAUUGAGUGUAAUGUAUCUCUUGCUCCUGCAGAAACAUAUACUGGUGAUGAAACUUGCAAAGAGGCAGGAAAUCAGAAUGACACUAUGCAUCCAGAUGCAAGGGAAGACAAUGCUGGUAGCCAUCUUUUCAACUCCGAUUGGACUUGCACUAUGUGCCCUGAUCAUAUGCCCAAUGACUCAGAAGGUGGAAAUGCCACCCGUGCUGAAAAUGACACCAUGUCCCCUGAUCAUAUGUCCCCUGAUAAUAUGCCCAAUGACUCGGAAGGUGGAAAUGCCACCAGUGCUGAAAACUCAGUAGAACUGCUGGGUAAAUAUCCUUUAGCCGUAGUACUGCCUGAAAGUGCUAAUUGCUGCUCAGAGAUUCCUGGUGCUUCUCAAAGUGUUGAACCCUCAAGUUAUCAAAGUACUCCAGUGGCUUCACUGAAGAAUCAACACUGCUUGGAAACAACUGAGCACAUCACAUUGACUCAGAAGGCAGUAUCAAAUGAAGAUACACCAUCUUCAAUUCACUCAGAUGUGCAAUCCCAGGAAAAAACUGUAGGUUCAGCAGAGAAGCGGAGAUCUGCAAAGCAAGUGUUGGAGCGUCCUACUAGAUCGCCAAUGACCAGAACUUCAGCCCCAUAUGUGCAUAAAUCUCGGCUUACUCGUUCUAGGGCCCAGUCAUUAUCUAUUUCCACACCCGAGUCUCUCAAAAUGAGAAGAACCAAAUCAGGUCGAGUGGUAGUACCCCAAUUGGAUCCAGGAAGGAGUAGGAUUGUCUAUGACAACAAUGGGUUGAUUUCAGGCGUUGCUCCUGUGGAUGGGAAGAAGUCAGCGAGACCUGCAAAGAACACAAGGGGGCCUCUCUGA
Molecule: ribosomal RNA, 1644 nt
Filed under: Triticum aestivum (bread wheat)
Lineage: Eukaryota; Viridiplantae; Streptophyta; Magnoliopsida; Poales; Poaceae
Description: partial small subunit ribosomal RNA
Source: RNAcentral